RNAcentral lists this long non-coding RNA (1318 nucleotides) under Citrus x clementina. Its description in RNAcentral is "Citrus clementina (C. clementina) long non-coding RNA (CCLE_LNC002535)". Lineage: Eukaryota; Viridiplantae; Streptophyta; Magnoliopsida; Sapindales; Rutaceae. The record is from RNAcentral.
AGGUUGUAAUAGCGCAAUAAGGUUAGUAUUGUAAUUUCUCCCUCUUCUUUAUUUUUAUUUGUUUUGUUCCCAUCUUUAUUUUUAUUUUAUUUGUUUUGCAUGCAUGGUCGUAGGUCAUUAUUACCUAAUCUUGAACCUAUAGACCUUGAACUAGAAAAAACACUUCGCACACACAAGCACGUUAAAAAUAAAUUUGGAAUGGAUUUACAAGCACCACAGGAGAGGCCAUUUAAGGACUAUUUUAGUCCCUUAGCUAAUUUGAGCACAUCACGAUAAACCCUUAACACCAUAUUGAUUAGAGUGUGGUUCAUGAGGUGUGGAUUCCCCCCUUAUGAUUAAUUGGCAUUAAUAAGGAAUAUUUAGCCCAUGGUGCAUGUUAAUGCGAAUCCAGAUACCCAAGUACGUCAAUUUAAUAGACUUUCACUUCAAUUUAUUCUUGCCAUCUUAAUUCAAAAUUUAGGAUAAUCCAAAUCACUUUCACCACAAAUCCAACCACACAUUCAUACAAAAUUAAUUCUACAUAUAAUUAAAAUUCACCUCCUCGUGGGAUCGACACUCGUCUCCAUUAAUCUAUUCGACAAUAGAUUCGUGCACUUGCGAGUUCAAUAAAAUUUGCACAACAGCGAGUCAUUCUUACAUGAGAAAAUGGACAUGAAAUUUGGAUUUUAAGGACUAAAAAACCCUUUGAAAGAGUUGUUAGAAUUUAUCACAUCUGUUAGCCCUUCAAUUUUAUACUAAUGUUUCUAGAAGGCUGAGAUCGCGCCAUGUGUCUGAGCUCAGAAGUGUCUCAUUGCAUUAUAUUCAACACACUUAUUAGUUCAACCAUCGUGACAAAAAUGUCCCUUUGAGGGUCUCUAUUUGACUUUAUUUGUAGUUAUAAAUUCAGUUGAAUCUAAUGCUCCAUAUGCAUCACAUUAGCUACAAGUCCAGACCAUUGGAUUGUAUCAUUAACGUUCAUCUAAAGGUUGUAGUUUCAUGCUUACCAAAAUUACCAUGCAAAUGUUGACACAUACUGAAGAUCACAAUUUUCCUAUAUAAAGACAAGGUGGUUCACUAGUUUUGAGUGUGGAGUUAAGAUGUGAGUGUCGAGAGUGUUUGUGUAAAGGUUGUGAUGAAUUUUAGGAAACAAAUGUAGUUAAUAAAAGGAUGUGGGAAAAAAUGAGUUUUUCUCUUCUCUCUUUUGCUUUCAAUUUUCAUGUAUUGUACAUUUACAAUUUACUUUAUCAAACAAAAUGAGUGUUUUGUUUAUCAACAUAAGUGGUUAAUUUUCUAAGUUACGAUGAAGGAUGUAACCCAAAGGUUCAAAUUGUGGAUCUAA